RNAcentral lists this ribosomal RNA (458 nucleotides) under uncultured bacterium. RNAcentral's name for it is "bacterial SSU rRNA". It matches the Rfam family "Bacterial small subunit ribosomal RNA", at positions 29 to 534 of the family's 1533-position model. The record is from RNAcentral.
AACGAACGCUGGCGGCAUGCCUAACACAUGCAAGUCGAACGAGACCUUCGGGUCUAGUGGCGCACGGGUGCGUAACACGUGGGAAUUUGCCUCGGGGUAUGGAAUAACUCAGGGAAACUUGAGCUAAUACCAUAUAAUGUCUUCGGACCAAAGAUUUAUCGCCCUGGGAUAAGCCCGCGUAGGAUUAGCUAGUUGGUGGGUAAAGGCCUACCAAGGCGACGAUCCAUAGCUGGUCUGAGAGGAUGAUCAGCCACACUGGGACUGAGACACGGCCCAGACUCCUACGGAGGCAGCAGUGGGGAAUAUUGGACAAUGGGCGAAAGCCUGAUCCAGCAAUGCCGCGUGAGUGAUGAAGGCCUUAGGGUUGUAAAGCUCUUUUAACCCGAGAUGAUAAUGACAGUAUCGGGAGAAUAAGCUCCGGCUAACUCCGUGCCAGCAGCGCGGUAAAGUGACUACUG